Capsicum annuum is the source of this 161-nucleotide non-coding RNA. The record is from Rfam. Lineage: Eukaryota; Viridiplantae; Streptophyta; Magnoliopsida; Solanales; Solanaceae.
AUACUUACCUGGACGGGAUCAAUGGGUGAUCAAUAAAACCCAUGGCCUAGGUUGGCGACCUCCAUUGCACUUUGGAGGGGUGCCUGCCUAAGGUCGGCCCAAGUGGUUGAGCCUACGUUAUAAUUUGUGGUGGAGGGGGCCUGUGUUCGCGCGGCCCCUGC